RNAcentral lists this transfer-messenger RNA (419 nucleotides) under Caldilineae bacterium. It matches the Rfam family "transfer-messenger RNA". Rfam says of the family: Bacterial tmRNA, also known as 10Sa RNA or SsrA, is named for its dual tRNA and mRNA-like properties. Its role is to liberate the mRNA from a stalled ribosome. Lineage: Bacteria; Bacillati; Chloroflexota; Caldilineae. The record is from RNAcentral.
GGGGAUGUAAUGGUUUCGACAGGCAUGAGAGCGGUUGUGAACUGCGAGCCGAGUUGAGGAGACUCGCAAAACGCCUCACCCCAACAAGUGCCGAGAAAGUUCCUGCUUUCGGUGGCCGCUCCUACAGCGCUUUGCCCCUCGCGGCGUAAGGCUGUGUGAGUAGUCCAUGACCCGCUCGCACGGGUCACGGGCGGCGUCCCCUUCCCUCGAGAGGGGGCGGCGUCCGACGGUGAAAUCGAGGUGCGCGGCGGCGACGCCGAUAGCCCGCCGCAAAGGAGGCGAGAGCCUCACCCAUCGGCUGGUUCGGGUGGACUCUGUUGGCCGAUGAAGCCCGAACGAGACGCGGAGCGCCAACUACGCUCGUAGACGUUUGCAACCAACAUGUCUGGACCCGGGUUCGACUCCCGGCAUCUCCACUU